GGAAGGGGAUCAGAGUGGCACUUGGGGGGGAGGGUGCAGGACCACUUUGCAGCACAUCUAAAGAAGUGGGCCCCCACUGGUAUAAGGCAGAUCAAAUAUCCCCCAAUAUUAAAGACAAAGGCCAAAAAGCCAUUGUCCCGCAGCUGACCUCAGAGAAGAGGAUCAUAAUUUCUCAGGCUUGCUCUUCUAAUGUUGUUUAAAGCACCAUUUAUUAAUAUUAUGUAAUAAUCAAAGCAGACAUAUGCUCUAAAGCCGCAUACCCUGUUUGUGUGCGCCUCUUCAGAGGGCUGCAUGCCCCCUGGCACAUUCCCUGGCACUGCUAAGAGCUAUGCUUCAGCCUUUUUGGGGAUUAGGCAUAUAGUUCCCUGUGUGGUCACGGAGAAGAGCUGACAUUCUCAGUAAAGGUCAGUUCACCUUUUCUGUGUUCCUCUUAAGCACACAGAUACUGAACCCCAUUCCCCUGCUAAGCAUGACUCAGAUUCAAAAACUGUUUGGGAUUCUGAGCCAGGUUCUCAGCUGGUGGGAAUUGGUGCAGCUCGGUUAACCUCAAACUGAAGGAAACUGAGUAUUGCCCCCCGGCCUUUGUCUGCACUGGACGUUUUGCUUGUAGAGUUAUAAUGACAAACUUGCCUAACAGAGGUGCAGCUUAUACCCACAAGCGUUCCUUUGGUCACCAGCUUCCUUGCUUACACUAGUUCUCUAAAUGAAAGGGGCUAUCCAGACUUCUUUUGGCUGGUAUAACUGAGUAUAGACAAGGGCUUUAGGUUGGUAAGGGGGUGAUUUAGUCACACUUGUAUCUGACAUACCUAUGCUGGCCUUAUACAUAGGUGGGCUUUAUACAUAACAAAGAUGGGGCCAUAUACAUAGGUGGGUUUACAGGCCACGUGUUUAAAUACCUACUGAGUCACUGGCACUUUCCAUUCUGCUGUCUUUACUUUUCUUUCGCAGAAGGACCUGUGCACACAUAGCAGUAUGGCAGUGUUUUCUCAGUCCAGGCCUUCUACACGAUCCUCCCCUUCAGUCCACUUCUACCCCUCUGUCUUUCUGGCAUGUCAGCUUGGCUAUCUCGUUGCAGGUGUCCGUCCAUUCUGGAAAUCCUGGCUCAUACAGGCACAUUAAUCACAACAUUUAUCUACUGAUGAACUGGAAGCUAGAAUACAACCCCCUGACUUUUUACGUCAGUUCAAACAUACCAGACAUUCUCAGCUUCAGCACACUGGAAAAGGCCACCACAGGCAGUUGAUGGGGAGAGGGUGGAUUUUUGCCCAUUCAAAGGCAGGAAUAUUUGGAAUAUACGUGAGUGACUCAUUCAUUAAACGGCACAAUUUAUCCUGAAGCUGUUCAAGGGAAUUGCUUUGCUAAUUCUGUUUCUGGGCUUUUU
Molecule: long non-coding RNA, 1381 nt
Organism: Gavialis gangeticus (Gharial)
Lineage: Eukaryota; Metazoa; Chordata; Crocodylia; Gavialidae
Exons: 2
Source: RefSeq, a predicted model, not a curated record